AUAAUUUGUCAAGUAAUUUUAAUGAAUUUUCUUUCUGUUGUCAAAGUUUCUUAAAAUAUUUAAUAUAGAUUUUAUUAUAAAUUGCUUUUUUUUCUGAUAAAUCUCAACAUUUUCCACAAACACACUUAAAUAUAUUACAUUUCAUCUUGAACCUGUGGUUAUGAUUGAAAAACCUAUAUACUUGAUCUGCUGAAUGAAAGAUAAUUAAAAUAACAAAAGUUUUAUUCUCAGGACAUCAUGACAAUCAAAGACUUACUUGUGACAAUUUGUUUUUAUACAGCCGCAAAAAAAAAUUUUUGUGGUCGUAUAUUGGUAUGACGUUGGCGUCGUUGUUGUCGUCCGAAGACAUUUGGUUUUUUCGCACUAUAACUUUAAUAUGAAACUUAAACACAAGGUUUAUGACCACAAAAGGAAGGUUGGGAUUGAUUUUGGGAAUUAUGGUCCCAACAGUUCAGGAAUUAGGGGCCAAAAAAGGGCCCAAUAAGCAUUUUUCUUGGUUUUCGCACAAUAACUUUAGUGUAAGUAAAUAGAAAUCUAUGAAAUUUUAACACAAGAUUUAUGACCACAAAAGGAAGGUUGGGAUUGAUUUUGGGAGUUUUGUUCCAACAGUUUAGGAAUUGGGGGCCAAAAAAGGACCCAAAUAAGCAUUUUUCUUGGUUUUUCC
RNAcentral lists this long non-coding RNA (664 nucleotides) under Mytilus galloprovincialis (Mediterranean mussel). The record is from RNAcentral. Lineage: Eukaryota; Metazoa; Mollusca; Bivalvia; Mytilida; Mytilidae.